UUGCUCUCAUCCCCUGCUCAGGAGGCUGCUAGAAGGCCAUUGGAGCUCGGGAGAAAUCUGUCUUCACCUCCAGCUACAGAGGCCGGAGGAAAGGGCUGCUCUCCAGGGCCCGUGCGCUGGAGAAGAGCAUUAGUGCAGACGGGUUUCUUUUAUUUGCACUGCAUCACAGAGGCUGUUUGAACAGUGCCCAUUUAGGACUGAAACAGUGCUGCUUUAUGGUUAUAUCCAAGGAAAAUACGCACCCUGAUAGAUGUAGGUGUCUAAUCCACCCAUCGGGCUAGAGCUUAGAAAAAUAUUUACCUUUUAACAUCUGUGCUGCAUUUUCCACUGCGCAAACACACAUCUGCUUGAUGGAAUGUCUGCAGAGUUUAGAUGGGUUUAAAGCAAGUUUUCUUAGUAACCAUAUAGCUCUGUCUUGACACGGGCAGUCCUGGAUUUGUGGUUGGGAGGUUUUUCUCAGAUCAGCUCAUUGUUUGAAACAAAUAGCUCUCGAGUUUAUAAAAGGAAGAGCUGGAGGCAAUCCCAGUAAUUGGAUCUUUAAUAAACCCCUCACCUCUUAGUAAGCCAUUCGGUGCAACAGUUUUAGAAUUUUCAGCCCGAUUCCACAGCCUGUGGGUUUCGGGCUGGGGGAGGGCUGGGGUGUGUGACAAAACUGUCAUCAGGAAGCCCUUCAGAGCGAUACUGAGGCGGAGCUGGGCCAGUGAUAUCAGCGAGCUGAUUCUUCCCACACCUCCAAGGGCGUCGAGUGGAGUUCACCAUGGUGCGGGCCAAGGGGCUGUGAGCUUCUAUACACCGUCCCCUGCCCCCUGAACCAGACUCCUUUGCCUCACAGGCUCCAGAGGGGGAAGCCAGGCAGAUGAGGCCGCUGGUGCAUCCAGGCAUUAAUUAACCCCCCAUCUCUUUCUGGGCCAAUGGCGCAGCAAGGGACCUCACGUCCUCCCUUGUUAAGCCCUAUGAACCCAUCUUUGAGCAACUCUUUUAAAGCUUGCACAAGUCAAUUCCAGAGAAGACAUGUUAGCCCUGGUUUUUUUUCCCUCUCGAAGCCAUGUUCUUGAAUGCAACGAAGCCCUUAAAGAAUAGUGUUAUACAUGCAUGAAUGCAUCCAACAGUGACGUUAUCUUCCAAACACUGAAAAGUCCAAUUUCUAUUCUCAGCCAAGUUCAAACAACAAAUAUUUACCGGAUUCCUACUAUGCACCAAGCAUGGUGCAAGUCUAGGGAGGAAAGAAGCCUCUGGGUCUCAGCCGAAGCGUGAGAGGGCCCUCAGCCCCAGACUUUGCAGCAACAUCCUCCAUGCUGAAAGUCAAGGUGGGAUUAAUUGAGAGCUGCCUAAACUCCCCUCUACUGGUAGUGCUGUUCACUCUACAACUCCAUCUUGCCAGUUUUCAGUAUACAGAAUAUGCCGAUGAAAAGUACAUGUGAAAAUUUACCUAGAAAAUUCUUUGGGGCUGCUAUUGCCUGUGCUUGAAAUAGAGAGGCCAUGAGUUUUGGGGGGUACCCACGGCAGAGCAUGGACAAUUUGAUCUGGGUUUCUCUCCACCAUCCUUCCCCCUCCCCUUUCUCUUUCUUGUUCGCCCCCUCCUCACCCCUUCUCCUUUCCUUCCAGUGCCCUGGAAGGCUCUAAGCGGUAGGCCACUGAAGGCCAGCAUAGUGUGGUGUGCGGGGUGGGUAGGGAAGAGACAGAAGAAACAGAACUGUACCAAAUUAGGCCCCAUUCCGUUUCAACGACAGGCCCAAGUGAGAUACGUUACCUCUUCUGCUGCUUGCUGGUCCCGCAAGGCAAUCACAUUCCUAAUGAGUUUGUUAAAAAAGCCA
Long non-coding RNA from Neofelis nebulosa (Clouded leopard), 1814 nucleotides. RefSeq lists it as uncharacterized. The transcript is spliced from 2 exons. NCBI's taxonomy places the organism in Eukaryota, Metazoa, Chordata, Mammalia, Carnivora, Felidae. The record is from RefSeq and is a predicted model, not a curated record.